UCAGUAAUCUCCCUGUUACAAGAAACGAUGUCGAAUUAUUACUUCAUAAUUGCGGUGAUCAUAGUGGUCAAAAUCCUCUUCUGGACAAUGUUCCUGUGUUAUCGGGCUUCAAGAAGACCGGCGUUAUCCGUCCAGUCGUUUACUCCGGAUGGACAAGUUUCUCACAAUGAUCGCAUAGUGAUUGUGCAGAGCGAGUACCUCCCGGACAGGUCUGGCCCGGGGAUGCCUGUCCAGAAUGACCGGGGUGCGGGGAACACGCCACCCACCUAUGAGCAAGCCGUCAAAGGCCCGGCAGUGAGGCCAACCUCGAUGCCGGUGUAGUCCAGCAGGCCAUCACGAUGCGGAAUUCUCAACUGCUCCGAAACCAUGACAGCAUAAUAAACAUAAUAUAAAUCCUUGCGGCAUACAAAUAGUUUGGGAUUCCAGUAUGUUUAUUUGAAAGAAAGAAAUUGCAGUAAAUGCUUCGCAGUAAAUAUUUUUCAUGCCGUAAAUAAUACUUAAAUAUAUCAGAGACUUUGAUUUUAUUUAACAUAGUGUAGUCGUUUUUGUUUGUUUUUUUGUCUUUUGUCUUCUUUUUUUAUGGGGUGGUCGGGUAGCCUAGUGGUUAAAGCGUUCGCUCGUCACGCCGAAAACCCGGGUUCGAUUCCCGACAUGAGUACAAUGUGUGAAGCCCCUUUCUGGUGCCGUGAUAUUGCUAAAAGCGGCGUCUCACUCACUCACUCACUCACUCACUCACUCACUCACUCACUCACUCAGUCACUCACUCACUCACUCACUUUUUUUUAUUUGGGAUGUGGGUGGGUAAGUUACAUUUCGACAUCAAGCUCACUAUGUAGUAUGCAUCUCAUGUUCAGCAUCAAAUACAGUACAUAAGAAACAAGAACUGGUCAACUCAGUUUUGUUGAUAUUAUUCAUAACAAAACGUAUACUUUCUGAAUUGUGUAUACUUUAAAUCUGUGUUCAUAAUAUAUGCCUUUAUGCUGAUAUUCUUCUCACCAAACCUAACAAUAAACAUUACGCUUUGUGUAGCAUGGGCCAUUGGCCUUCCUGUACCGUACAAAGUAUCAUGUCGUAAACAAGCUCAAGAAAUAUAGGGACUUAACCCUGUAACCAUGCACGUACAUAUAUGCAUUGAUUUGAACAUAGGGCAUUGUCUAAUUACGACCGGAAAAAGUGGCUCACUAAUAUGUCUUUCUCCCCAGAAACAUUGUUGAAUUAUAAUAGCUAGAUAGAUAGAUCUACAUAUAGAUAGUAAUUAACAUAUUCUAAGAUUUUUUUCACUCAGCUAUAUUCCAGCUAUAUGACGGCGAUCUGUAAAUAAUCGAGUCUGGACAAGACAACCCAGUGAUUAACAUCAUGAGCAUCGAUCCACGCAAUUGGGAUCGUUGACAUGCAUCAACCAAGUCAGCGAGCCUGGCCACCUGAUCCCGUUAGUCGCUUCUUACGACAAGCAUAGUCGCAAUAAAACUGUUCAUCUGUUGUGUACGUCGCCUGCUCAGAUGCAUUUAUGUGUUUUUUUAUCUCGCUUAUAAUACUGUAAUAAAUACGCUUAUGAUACACGUUGAUAGCGAACUUAUCGUGAAGUCCAUAUUUGACAGUGUAAGUGUUUGCAACCUCAUUAAAAUAAGAUGGGAGUUCCAGCUACCGCUAGACAAAGGGUAGCUUUUCAUUUGAUAUUUUCAACCAUUUCCAACCAAAAUCUAUUAAAUGAGAUUGAAGUGUACCUUGUUUUGUAUUUACAUCAGGUGAAUAAUGUUUACUUUUUGUCAAAUUCUCUUUUGUUUGGAUACAUGUGCUAUUAGAAGCUUUCUAGUAAAUAUUUAUUUUUCAAUGA
Molecule: long non-coding RNA, 1834 nt
Filed under: Haliotis rufescens (red abalone)
Lineage: Eukaryota; Metazoa; Mollusca; Gastropoda; Lepetellida; Haliotidae
Description: uncharacterized LOC124137615
Rfam family: tRNA (bases 587-658)
Source: RNAcentral